UGCCAGUGAUAAACUGGAGGAAGGUGGGGAUGACGUCAAGUCAUCAUGGCCCUUACGACCAGGGCUACACACGUGCUACAAUGGCAUAUACAAAGAGAAGCGACCUCGCGAGAGCAAGCGGACCUCAUAAAGUAUGUCGUAGUCCGGAUUGGAGUCUGCAACUCGACUCCAUGAAGUCGGAAUCGCUAGUAAUCGUAGAUCAGAAUGCUACGGUGAAUACGUUCCCGGGCCUUGUACACACCGCCCGUCACACCAUGGGAGUGGGUUGCAAAAGAAGUAGGUAGCUUAACCUUCGGGAGGGCGCUUACCACUUUGUGAUUCAUGACUGGGGUGAAGUCGUAACAAGGUAACCGUAGGGGAACCUGCGGUUGGAUCACCUCCUUACCUUAAAGAA
RNAcentral lists this ribosomal RNA (394 nucleotides) under Klebsiella pneumoniae. RNAcentral describes it as "bacterial SSU rRNA". It matches the Rfam family "Bacterial small subunit ribosomal RNA", at positions 1150 to 1533 of the family's 1533-position model. The record is from RNAcentral. Lineage: Bacteria; Pseudomonadati; Pseudomonadota; Gammaproteobacteria; Enterobacterales; Enterobacteriaceae. RNAcentral also lists the same sequence under 4 other names.